Molecule: ribosomal RNA, 407 nt
Filed under: uncultured bacterium
Lineage: Bacteria
Description: partial 16S ribosomal RNA
Rfam family: Bacterial small subunit ribosomal RNA
Source: RNAcentral
AUUGAACGCUGGCGGCAGGCCUAACACAUGCAAGUCGAGCGGAGCGGCGGACGGGUGAGUAAUGCCUAGGAAUCUGCAUGGUAGUGGGGGAUAACGUCCGGAAACGGGCGCUAAUACCGCAUACUAUCAGAUGAGCCUAGGUCGGAUUAGCUAGGAGGUGGGGUAAAGGCUCACCUAGGCGACGAUCUCUAGCUGGUCUGAGAGGAUGAUCAGCGGCUCUGGAGCUGUGACACGGCCAAGACUCCUACCGGAGGCGGCAGUGGAGAAUAUUUCACAAGUGGCAGAAGGCUGAAGAAGCCAUGCCGCGUGUAUGAAGAAGGCCUUAGGCUUGUAAACUACUUUCAGCGGGAAGGCGUUGCCCGAAGAAGAAUCACCCGCUAACUACGUGCCAGCAGCCGCGGUAAUAC